UACGUAGGUGGCAAGCGUUGUCCGGAAUUACUGGGCGUAAAGCGUGCGCAGGCGGUUCGUCGUGUCCGAUGUAAAAGCCCCGGGCUCAACCUGGGAAUGGCAUUGGAAACUGGCGGACUCGAGUGUGGCAGAGGGGGGUGGAAUUCCGCGUGUAGCAGUGAAGUGCGUAGAGAUGCGGAGGAACACCGAUGGCGAAGGCAGCCCCCUGGGCUAACACUGACGCUCAGGCACGAAAGCGUGGGGAGCAAACAGG
Molecule: ribosomal RNA, 253 nt
Filed under: uncultured bacterium
Lineage: Bacteria
Description: partial 16S ribosomal RNA
Rfam family: Bacterial small subunit ribosomal RNA
Source: RNAcentral